RNAcentral lists this ribosomal RNA (492 nucleotides) under uncultured bacterium. Its description in RNAcentral is "partial 16S ribosomal RNA". It matches the Rfam family "Bacterial small subunit ribosomal RNA", at positions 30 to 507 of the family's 1533-position model. The record is from RNAcentral.
AUUGAACGCUGGCGGCAGGCCUAACACAUGCAAGUCGAACGGCAGCAGGGUAAUAGCUUCCGCUUACAGGUGCCGAGGGGCGGACAAGUUCGGAAUAUCUCCGAUUCUGCGGGUUAUUGCGGCGUAACAUUGGCAAACAUACCCUACUACCUCCGACGGACAACGGGGGAAAGCAUGGGAUCUCGCGCCCUUAGCGGAGGCUGGGAGGCGAUGUCGGAUUAGCUAGUUGGUGGGGUAAAGGCGUACCAAGGCGACGAUCCGUAGCUGGUCUGAGAGGAUGAUCAGCCACACUGGAACUGAGACACGGUCCAGACUCCUACGGGAGGCAGCAGUGGGGAAUAUUGGACAAUGGGCGCAAGCCUGAUCCAGCCAUGCCGCGUGCGUGAAGAAGGCCUUCGGGUUGUAAAGCACUUUUGUUCGGAAAGAAAAGCAGUAAGUUAAUACCGCGCUGUUAUGACGGUACCAAAAGAAUAAGCACCGGCUAACUUCGUG